AGAGUUUGAUCAUGGCUCAGGACGAACGCUGGCGGCGCGCUUAACACAUGCAAGUCGAACGAGAGAAGAGGAGCUUGCUUUUCUGAUCUAGUGGCGGACGGGUGAGUAACACGUGAGCAAUCUGCCUUUCAGAGGGGGAUACCGAUUGGAAACGAUCGUUAAUACCGCAUAACAUAAUUGAACCGCAUGAUUUGAUUAUCAAAGAUUUAUCGCUGAAAGAUGAGCUCGCGUCUGAUUAGCUAGUUGGUAAGGUAACGGCUUACCAAGGCGACGAUCAGUAGCCGGACUGAGAGGUUGAUCGGCCACAUUGGGACUGAGACACGGCCCAGACUCCUACGGGAGGCAGCAGUGGGGAAUAUUGCACAAUGGAGGAAACUCUGAUGCAGCGAUGCCGCGUGAGGGAAGAAGGUUUUAGGAUUGUAAACCUCUGUCUUCAGGGACGAAAAAAGACGGUACCUGAGGAGGAAGCUCCGGCUAACUACGUGCCAGCAGCCGCGGUAAUACGUAGGGAGCGAGCGUUGUCCGGAAUUACUGGGUGUAAAGGGAGCGUAGGCGGGAUCGCAAGUCAGAUGUGAAAACUAUGGGCUUAACCCAUAAACUGCAUUUGAAACUGUGGUUCUUGAGUGAAGUAGAGGUAAGCGGAAUUCCUAGUGUAGCGGUGAAAUGCGUAGAUAUUAGGAGGAACAUCAGUGGCGAAGGCGGCUUACUGGGCUUUAACUGACGCUGAGGCUCGAAAGCGUGGGGAGCAAACAGGAUUAGAUACCCUGGUAGUCCACGCCGUAAACGAUGAUUACUAGGUGUGGGGGGACUGACCCCUUCCGUGCCGCAGCAAACGCAAUAAGUAAUCCACCUGGGGAGUACGACCGCAAGGUUGAAACUCAAAGGAAUUGACGGGGGCCCGCACAAGCAGUGGAGUAUGUGGAUUAAUUCGAAGCAACGCGAAGAACCUUACCAGGUCUUGACAUCGUAUGCAUAGCUCAGAGAUGAGUGAAAUCUCUUCGGAGACAUAUAGACAGGUGGUGCAUGGUUGUCGUCAGCUCGUGUCGUGAGAUGUUGGGUUAAGUCCCGCAACGAGCGCAACCCUUACUGUUAGUUGCUACGCAAGAGCACUCUAGCAGGACUGCCGUUGACAAAACGGAGGAAGGUGGGGAUGACGUCAAAUCAUCAUGCCCCUUAUGACCUGGGCCUCACACGUACUACAAUGGCUGUCAACAGAGGGAAGCAAAGCCGCGAGGUGGAGCGAACCCCUAAAAGCAGUCUUAGUUCGGAUUGUAGGCUGCAACCCGCCUACAUGAAGUCGGAAUUGCUAGUAAUCGCAGAUCAGCAUGCUGCGGUGAAUACGUUCCCGGGCCUUGUACACACCGCCCGUCACGCCAUGGGAGUCGGUAACACCCGAAGCCUGUAGUCUAACCGCAAGGAGGACGCAGUCGAAGGUGGGAUUGAUGACUGGGGUGAAGUCGUAACAAGGUA
Molecule: ribosomal RNA, 1470 nt
Filed under: metagenome
Description: bacterial SSU rRNA
Rfam family: Bacterial small subunit ribosomal RNA
Source: RNAcentral